This 597-nucleotide ribosomal RNA is filed under the name Triticum aestivum (bread wheat). Its description in RNAcentral is "partial small subunit ribosomal RNA". Lineage: Eukaryota; Viridiplantae; Streptophyta; Magnoliopsida; Poales; Poaceae. The record is from RNAcentral.
AUGCCUCCUUCUCUCUUCCAGAACAAAGACAAAAGGGAAAAAUAUAUCAAUGUGCCUAUUGCCAACUUCGAUGAGAUGGAGUUCAUAUUUCAGGAUAAGCAUGCUACCGGAGAGUUCAUGGUCCUUCAAACACCCUAUGACCGUGUUCAUGCUCAUGACAAGGAUUUUAUUUGUGACAUCGAGAAGAAUGCGAUUCAUGUUGAUCCUGUAACACAAUAUGAUUCAUAUCAUCUUCCUUAUGACACUAAUAAUGAAAGCUCAUCUUCGAAGUGUCCUAGAGGUGGCAUACGCGAUAAAGGUAAGAGGAUGAAGUGUGAUGAGAGUGUAGUCCGAGACAUGACGCGGUCUCUGCAUGAUAUGUCGGAUACUAUGUGUUUCACACAUGUGACCAACCUGAAUGAGAAUUUAUUCAAAAUAAUUGCUGACAUGGAAGAAUACCCUCUCUUCAUCCGACUUGCACUACACACAUCUUUGGCCACCAAUGAACAAGUCGCCUCCAUGUUGAAAGGGAGGCCGAUGGCUGCUAUUCAAGAGUUCGUGUGGCGUUGGGUCGGUGAUAACUUUUCUGAACACGUUCGUUUUCCUCCUAACAUGUGA